AGGAGAAAUCGCGUCCGAACCGAUACAAGACCGCGUUUGAUGGCUUCCGCCGUCCGGACAGCGCGGUCUGAACGAUUGUGGAAGGUUUGCGGGUCUGUCUUGAAGAUGCCCUAAGUAGGCAAGCAGGGGAGGGCGAUGUGGAGGUCGAGCGCUCUGGUCGACGUGUAUUUUCUCUUUGGAUAUUGCAUUUUGGUCUUCACUUUCUUUUGUUGCAUACAUGCAUCAAGCUUGGGAACGAUCGGCCGUGGUCGCUCUCCCACAAAAGAGAAAGGAUGGCCAGCAGAAAAGAAAAGUAUAAACAAACGACGAGCAGGGUCUGGCCGGAUGGUGCUUGCUUAACUCGAUCAACAAUGCAGAAUGAAAUAGUUCGAAUUAUAUAUAUGCUCUCGCGAACGCAAUCAAGAACCAGUUGCGUGAAGAUUAAUUUACGAACCAAAAUAUCAACUCGUGCUAUUAAUCUCCCUAUAAUCCGUUUGUUUCUUUGUCGUAUGGUUAGAAGCGUAGAGGUCCCGUUGCCCAGUUGCACCUUGUUUUCUUUAUUAUAAACUCAAUUAAACUACUGCUCUUAAUAUGUUUCCCUAGUCUUUAUCUUUAUCUUUAUCUUUACCUAAUCUUUCCCUAAUAAUAAAGCGAUUACUGCUUCUGGUCGUACGUCGUCGGUGUUUUUGCGAAAAAGUCCCUCUUUCUUUGAAAUCAACCCGCAGUCUCUGUUUAAGUGGCACUCUGGAAAAACGUUUCAUUUUUACAAAAAGAACCCUGUAUUUUGGUGCAUUCAACCCGCGAUCUUCUUUUAGGUGGCUCUGAGAGAUAACUUUGCAAAAAAGACCCGUGCAUAACGAGCGGCUGGGGGCGGCGGCUGCUCGAUCCGGAACGACGCCGGUGGCUGGAGCUUGCAGGACCGGAUCCGUGCGCAGCAGGGGCUGGGGACACCGAUUCGGAGGCGGGCGGCGAGGCUAGGAAGGCCGGAGCUGAGGGAGAGAAGGAAGAAAGGAGGGGAGGUGCGGCGUCCUAGGCAGGAGCUCGCCGGAGCCGGGCGACGGCGCACGGGCACGGGAGACGAAGGGAUCCGAAGCCAGCCGGUCGGGCGACAACAACCAGGACACGGGUGGCGUACGAAUGAGGACUUGACCACCAGCUGCAGAAAUCACUCAUUCUUGGCGCCAUGGCGGCCGCGGCAGCGGCCAGCGGUGCCAUCCCAUGGCGUAGAGAGGAGAGGACGGAGGGGAAGCUGGCCAGCAGAGGUUGGCUCGCCCACAUGUGCGGCGGCGCCAUCCCGUGGUGGAGAAAGCAUGUGACGAAGGGGAAGCAUUAUACUCUAAUGACAGAUUAGAACUCGAUUGUGGCCGCAACGAAAUCACAGCCAACUGAAGAAUACGCAGGCAUGGCGGGGCUGAAUCAAACAUCACAACCAAUCGAAGAAGAGGCGGACAUGGCCGGGCUAAGCCGAACAUCACAACCAGUCAAAGAAGAGGCGGGAAUGGCCGGGCUAACCCGCUGUAACCGGGAGGUCGGGGCAGAGGUAGAGGAGGAUGAACGGUGGGUGGAGCCGGAUGCUGCAGAUCGAGGACGCGCUGCACCGGGACUGUUGGUGGCGGUGGAGGGGGAGUAGGGGAAAGGCGUCGCGGGAAGUCACAGGAGGCAAGUGGAACAACCGCUCCAGAUCUGCCACAAGGGGGCACUCUGCCACCGAGAGAUGCGCCGCCGGAGCGCCGAGCUGACAGCUGCGAGGGGGGUCGCACGCAAUGGGCCAGCGGGAGACGAGGAGAGGCCCCACCGCCACUGCCACGGAUCAGCCACCAGGCGGCGCCGAGGGGAGGUGCGUGGAGAUGGGGUGCUUGGUGGCGGCGUGCUCGGGAAUCGGCCUGUGUCGCCGGGCGCUCGGCCCUGUUCUAUAUCGGUGAGGAAAGAGAUGCAGAUAGGGAUGAGAGAUAGAUGGAGCGAUAGUACAGAAGAGAGGAGCGGUGGAGUUUGUUUUUUUGCUUUUGACAACAAAGAGAGCGGUGGAGGUGGAGACAAAUGGACAAGUUUGGAGGUGGAGU
Long non-coding RNA from Aegilops tauschii subsp. strangulata, 2039 nucleotides. RefSeq lists it as uncharacterized. NCBI's taxonomy places the organism in Eukaryota, Viridiplantae, Streptophyta, Magnoliopsida, Poales, Poaceae. The record is from RefSeq and is a predicted model, not a curated record.